AACGAGGCCGACCUGCGGCUGAGUUACCUGCGGAGGGAUCAUUACCGAGUUUACAACUCCCAAACCCCUGUGAACAUACCUAUACGUUGCCUCGGCGGAUCAGCCCGCGCCCCGUAAAAAGGGACGGCCCGCCCGAGGACCCCUAAACUCUGUUUUUAGUGGAACUUCUGAGUAAAACAAACAAAUAAAUCAAAACUUUCAACAACGGAUCU
Molecule: unclassified non-coding RNA, 212 nt
Filed under: soil metagenome
Description: partial contains 5.8S ribosomal RNA, internal transcribed spacer 2, and large subunit ribosomal RNA
Source: RNAcentral